This 426-nucleotide ribosomal RNA is filed under the name uncultured prokaryote. RNAcentral's name for it is "bacterial SSU rRNA". It matches the Rfam family "Bacterial small subunit ribosomal RNA", at positions 355 to 796 of the family's 1533-position model. The record is from RNAcentral.
UGGGGAAUUUUCCGCAAUGGGCGCAAGCCUGAUGGAGCAAUACCGCGUGAGGGAGGAAGGCUUUUGGGUUGUAAACCUCUUUUCUCAAGGAAGAAGCACUGACGGUACUUGAGGAAUCAGCAUCGGCUAACUCCGUGCCAGCAGCCGCGGUAAUACGGAGGAUGCACGCGUUAUUCGGAAUUAUUGGGCGUAAAGCGUCCGCAGGUGGUGCCUCAAGUCUGCUGUCAAAGACCGAAGCUCAACUUCGGGCAGGCAGAGGAAAGAGAAGGACUAGAGUACGGUAGGGGUAGAGGGAAUUUCCAGUGUAGCGGUGAAAUGCGUAGAGAUUGGAAAGAACACCAGUGGCGAAGGCGCUCUACUGGACCGUAACUGACACUCAGGGACGAAAGCGUGGGGAGCGAAAGGGAUUAGAUACCCCCGUAGUCC